GAACCUUACCUGGGUUUGACAUGCACAGGACGUGCCUAGAGAUAGGUAUUCCCUUGUGGUCUGUGUGCAGGUGGUGCAUGGCUGUCGUCAGCUCGUGUCGUGAGAUGUUGGGUUAAGUCCCGCAACGAGCGCAGCCCUUGUCUCAUGUUGCCAGCACGUUAUGGUGGGGACUCGUGAGAGACUGCCGGGGUCAACUCGGAGGAAGGUGGGGAUGACGUCAAGUCAUCAUGCCCCUUAUGUCCAGGGCUUCACACAUGCUACAAUGGCCGGUACAAAGGGCUGCGAUGCCGUGAGGUGGAGCGAAUCCUUUCAAAGCCGGUCUCAGUUCGGAUCGGGGUCUGCAACUCGACCCCGUGAAGUCGGAGUCGCUAGUAAUCGCAGAUCAGCAACGCUGCGGUGAAUACGUUCCCGGGCCUUGUCACACCGA
This 427-nucleotide ribosomal RNA is filed under the name uncultured soil bacterium. Its description in RNAcentral is "bacterial SSU rRNA". It matches the Rfam family "Bacterial small subunit ribosomal RNA", at positions 966 to 1393 of the family's 1533-position model. The record is from RNAcentral.